RNAcentral lists this ribosomal RNA (449 nucleotides) under uncultured bacterium. Its description in RNAcentral is "partial 16S ribosomal RNA". It matches the Rfam family "Bacterial small subunit ribosomal RNA", at positions 46 to 523 of the family's 1533-position model. The record is from RNAcentral.
UCCUUGAAAAAGGGAGUUCAAGAAGAGCUUCGAAGAAGCUUUCUUGAUGGAGGGGAGUGGCAGACGGGUGAGUAACGCGUGGGAACAUACCCUUAUCUUCGGAACAACUCCGGGAAACUGGAGCUAAUACCGAAUGUGCCCUUAGGGGGAAAGAUUUAUCGGAUAAGGAUUGGCCCGCGUUGGAUUAGCUAGUUGGUGAGGUAAUGGCUCACCAAGGCUACGAUAAGUAGCUGAUCUGAGUGGAUGAUCAGCCACAUUGGGACUGAGACACGGCCCAAACUCCUACGGGAGGCAGCAGUGGGGAAUAUUGGACAAUGGGCGCAAGCCUGAUCCAGCCAUGCCGCGUGAGUGAUGAAGGCCUUCGGGUUGUAAAGCUCUUUUAUCCGGGAAGAUAAUGACUGUACCGGAAGAAUAAGCCCCGGCAAACCUCGUGCCAGCAGCCGCAGUAA